Molecule: transfer RNA, 87 nt
Filed under: Mariprofundaceae bacterium
Lineage: Bacteria; Pseudomonadati; Pseudomonadota; Candidatius Mariprofundia; Mariprofundales; Mariprofundaceae
Description: tRNA-Leu
Rfam family: tRNA
About the family: Transfer RNA (tRNA) molecules are approximately 80 nucleotides in length. Their secondary structure includes four short double-helical elements and three loops (D, anti-codon, and T loops).
Source: RNAcentral
GCCGGGAUGGCGGAACUGGUAGACGCAAGGGACUUAAAAUCCCUCGGUAGUAAUACUGUACGGGUUCGACUCCCGUUCCCGGUACCA